RNAcentral lists this ribosomal RNA (494 nucleotides) under uncultured bacterium. Its description in RNAcentral is "partial 16S ribosomal RNA". It matches the Rfam family "Bacterial small subunit ribosomal RNA", at positions 28 to 507 of the family's 1533-position model. The record is from RNAcentral.
GACGAACGCUGGCGGCGUGCUUAACACAUGCAAGUCGAACGGUGAAGCGCCUUCCUUUUUGGUGGGUGUGGAUGAGUGGCGAACGGGUGAGUAACACGUGAGUAACCUGCCCCCUUCUUCUGGAUAACCGCAUGAAAGUGUGGCUAAUACGGGAUAUUCUGGGUCUGUCGCAUGAUGGGUCUGGGAAAGAUAUUGUUUCGGUGGGGGAUGGGCUCGCGGCCUAUCAGCUUGUUGGUGGGGUGAUGGCCUGCCAAGGCGGUGACGGGUAGCCGGCCUGAGAAGGUGGACGGUCACACUGGGACUGAGACACGGCCCAGACUCCUACGGGAGGCAGCAGUGGGGAAUAUUGCACAAUGGGCGCAAGCCUGAUGCAGCGACGCCGCGUGAGGGAUGGAGGCCUUCGGGUUGUGAACCUCUUUCGCCAGUGAAGCAGGCCUGCCUCGUUUGUGGGUGGGUUGACGGUAGCUGGAUAAGAAGCGCCGGCUAACUACGUG